This 315-nucleotide ribosomal RNA is filed under the name uncultured eukaryote. RNAcentral's name for it is "partial 18S ribosomal RNA". It matches the Rfam family "Eukaryotic small subunit ribosomal RNA", at positions 1470 to 1796 of the family's 1831-position model. The record is from RNAcentral.
CCCUUAGACGUUCUGGGCCGCACGCGCGCUACACUGACCAGUGCAACAAGCAUCCGUCCUUGGCCGACAGGCCCGGGCAAUCUUUGAACGCCGGUCGUGAUGGGGAUAGACUUUUGCAAUUUUUGGUCUUCAACGAGGAAUUCCUAGUAAACGCAAGUCAUCAACUUGCAUUGAUUACGUCCCUGCCCUUUGUACACACCGCCCGUCGCACCUACCGAUUGAAUGGUCCGGUGAAGCCUCCGGAUUGGCGCGCACCUCGGUGCCGCCGAGAAGUUGGCUAAACCUUACCAUUUAGAGGAAGGUGAAGUCGUANCA